This 1061-nucleotide long non-coding RNA is filed under the name Setaria viridis. RNAcentral's name for it is "long non-coding RNA (SVIR_LNC003898)". The record is from RNAcentral. Lineage: Eukaryota; Viridiplantae; Streptophyta; Magnoliopsida; Poales; Poaceae.
GUGCUACAAGCGGUAAGAGUAAGGCUAAUGGUAACGCCUCCAGGAGGCCCAAAGAGAAAGAUGAACAGUAGCAGCAAUCCUGAAACAAUGAGACCAAAAAAACAGCGGCGCAACUCUGCGCGCACGACACACGAACUGGCGAUCUGGCAAGAGUUAUUCAAGAUGUCCACGGAUCGGUGUAUACUUCUGCUGCGCUUGGUGUGGCUCUUACAGGUACUUGAAGAUCAGGCCACCGUGGGUAGCGAAGAAGGGGGCGAACACAAGGGACUCCACGGCCAUGAGCUUGAUGAGGAUGUUGAGGGAUGGGCCAGAGGUGUCCUUCAGGGGGUCACCGAUGGUGUCGCCGAUAACGGCAGCCUUGUGGCAGUCUGAUCCCUUGGGGCCCAGGGUCCUUGCGUGCUCGCUGGCACCAGCCUGAAACAAACAAGGUAAAGUUGAGGACAAAGUUAAUCACUGACCAUAGAUACUGACUCGUAUUAUCCAGGACUUUUUCAGAGCCCUUACCUCAAUGUACUUCUUGGCAUUGUCCCAUGCACCACCAGUGUUGGAAGCAGAGAUGGCAAUCUGCCAAGAUUUCAAACGUCAUAAACCAUUCAACCAGUUAACACACAAAAGUAAAUACACAGAGCAACAGGAAGUGAUACGCACCUGCACUCCAGAAACCAGGGCACCAGCAAGAACACCAGAGAGGGUCUCCACACCAAAGAGGGUUCCAACAAUGAGGGGAGUGAGCAUGACCAGAGCACCUGGGGGGAUCAUCUCCUUGAUGGAAGCAUCGGUAGAGAUCUUGACACAGGUAGCGUAGUCAGGCUUGCCAGUUCCCUCCAUCAGACCAGGAAUGGUGUUGAACUGCCUGCGGACCUCCUCAACCAUCUUCAGAGCAGCACUUCCAACACUCUUCAUGGUCAUGGCAGAGAACCAGUAUGGAAGCAUGGCUCCGACAAUCAAGCCAAUGAAGACCUUGGGGGACAGGACAUCGACAACCUUCACUCCAGCUCUGCUGACAAAGGCACCAAAAAGGGCCAGGGACACAAGAGCAGCUGAUCCAAUGGCAAAUCCCU